RNAcentral lists this long non-coding RNA (449 nucleotides) under Citrus sinensis (sweet orange). RNAcentral's name for it is "long non-coding RNA (CSIN_LNC005489)". The record is from RNAcentral. Lineage: Eukaryota; Viridiplantae; Streptophyta; Magnoliopsida; Sapindales; Rutaceae.
AAAGUACAACUAAGGACAAAGAUCCGGUCUCUUUGCCUUAGAGGAAUCGUAUCAGGUUUUAUGGCAGGAUUUUGAUAUAGAAGAUCAGCCUGCGAUGCAUGCUCUUGAAAAUUAAAAGACAAUUUAAAUGUAAACUUUAAAUUUAAUUACAAGAAAUAGAUUACAUAGAGAUCUUACAAGUUUGCUUGGAUCCCGAGAGCCUUGUAGAAAGAAAGAAGGAAAAUAAAGAAAGAAAAUGUUUACAAUAUUGCUUUACAAUUGGAGAAAAUGGAAAAGAUUACAAGACAGGAAAAUUUCCUUAAGGUCUUGUUUGAUUUAUCGUAGAGAGAAUCCUUGCUCUUCCCCCUAAAAAAAAAAGACUCUGCCUUUCUUACGAGAGAGAGGAGAAUAAAUAAGCUGGAAGACUCGAGGCAAGAUCCACGAAUCUCGGGGGUCUUCAUGGGGCUUUU